Molecule: long non-coding RNA, 786 nt
Organism: Oncorhynchus masou masou (cherry salmon)
Lineage: Eukaryota; Metazoa; Chordata; Actinopteri; Salmoniformes; Salmonidae
Exons: 2
Source: RefSeq, a predicted model, not a curated record
CACGACGGUGCUACACAGCCUCCGACUGCAUGGGGCCUCAGACGUACCCAUCAUCUACGAGUAUGCUCUGGACUUGGCCUGCACUACCAAGAUGUAACCAACAGGGGUCACAUUGUACCUCUUCCACUCCACCUACCUCCUUCCAUCCCUCCGCUGCCUAGCUUCCCAUUGGUUCCCCUCACCUCUUCCCCCUCUGUGAAAGAGAAUGCACCACCACCGUGUGUGCUUUUUAAUUUUUAGGUUGGACCAAGGCAGUUCCCCCGUCACGUUAUGUUUAAUAACUGAAGCCAAAAUACCUCCCCAAAAUAUUUGUCAGACACUUGAGAUGUGUAGUCUAGUCUGCAGUUCUGUUCACCCCAUCAUCCUAUUUAAUCCAUUCCUCCUGGGGCCAGUGUAACCCAAACAGUAGUAUAUCCUGUACCAGUCAAAAGUUUGGAUACACCUACUCAUUCAAAAGGUUUCUCUUACUUUUUCCUAUUUUCUACAUUGUAGAAUAAUAGUGAAGACAUCAAAACUAUGAAAUAACAUAUAUGGAAUCAUGUAGUAACCAAAAAGGUGUUCAAAUCAAAAUAUAUUUUACAUUUGAAUUUCUUCAAAGCAGCCACCCUUUGCCUUGAUGGCACACUCUUGGCAUUCUCUCAACCAGCUUCAUGAGGUAGUCACCUGGAAUGCAUUACAAUUAACAGUUGUGCCUUGUUAAAAGUUACUUUGUGUAAGUUUUCAUUCUUUAUACAUUUGAGCCAAUCAGUUGUGUUAUAAAAAAUAAAAUAAAACCCCUUGAAUGUU